AAUUAAUUGUAUUCGGCCAGCUUUCAUGCGCACCAAGGGGCUGAUUGCAUUUCCCAGCCACCCAUUGGUCUACUUUGUUCGUGUUAUCUCCUAACCAACCUUAUUUAAUACAUACCCUCUUAACUUCAAUCACUAGUUCGAUACCCUCAUCACUUUUGACACAACCGCACCAUUCGAAAGACACUUUCACUCUCUCCCUCGUCGAUAUAAGGCUACCGGGGUUCACCGGAGCUCGCUAGAGAUCGAAGUUCACGACGGAACUGUUUGGCCAUGUUUCGCUCGCCGAGCACGUAGCCGAAAACACCUUCCUUGCACCUCGCCGGACCUGCAUGUGGCCAGACUUGUAUCCCUGGCGGAGUUCGGAGCAUUCGCCGGAGAUCAGAGAAGACGACCGGAAGGCCGCCGACGCCGUUUCGUUCACCGAACAAGUUGCCGGAGUUCUAGGUUUGCCAGAGACCGGUGCUCAACGGAAAACGAUACGAGAUCGCACCCUUUCAUUCGGAUAACCUCUUGCGUUCGUUCUCUUGGAUUUACUCAAUCUAUACUCGUGCGUUACUUACAAGAAAUCGCAUACGCAACCGAGGUUGAUGAGGAUGAUGCUAAGAAAAGAAGUAGCGUUGAUGCCUAGAUACACAUAUAGACGUU
This is a long non-coding RNA of Helianthus annuus (common sunflower), 645 nucleotides long. RefSeq lists it as uncharacterized. NCBI's taxonomy places the organism in Eukaryota, Viridiplantae, Streptophyta, Magnoliopsida, Asterales, Asteraceae. The record is from RefSeq and is a predicted model, not a curated record. The transcript has 4 exons.